CUGGGUUCGAUCCUCAGCACCACAUAAAAAUAAAUCAAUAAAGCUAUUGAGUCCCACUACAACUAAAUAAAUAUUAAAUAAUAAUAAUAAAUAAAUAUUAAAAAAUUAAUUAAUUGAAUUGCUCUGAAAACACAAAUAUGAGUAUCUCACUUCCUUUCUUGAAGCUCUUCAGUGGCUCCCAGUUGCUGUCAGGGUAAAAUGCGACAUCAUCGAUGUGUCUUUAAUGUGACUUGGAGGAAGCAUCAAGUAUGAACCCCAGCCCACAGGUGCCAUGCGUUUGAGCCCUCCCCACCCUGGAGUUCAGCUUGCCAGUGCCUUGGCUCCGAAGCCCUUGCUCAGACCUGGGUUUCCUUGGUUUACGUGCCUUCUCAUAGGUUUUGUUAAGCGAAAUUUGAUUCCAGAGGGAAAGAAUGUCAGACCUCUAAUGCUCUGCACCAGUUUUUAAAGAAAUUAAGGUUUUUAGAAAUAACAAGAGAGUGCUGACAUACGCC
This 491-nucleotide long non-coding RNA is filed under the name Marmota monax (woodchuck). The record is from RNAcentral. Lineage: Eukaryota; Metazoa; Chordata; Mammalia; Rodentia; Sciuridae.